Molecule: ribosomal RNA, 254 nt
Filed under: uncultured bacterium
Lineage: Bacteria
Description: partial 16S ribosomal RNA
Rfam family: Bacterial small subunit ribosomal RNA
Source: RNAcentral
UACAGAGGUGUCAAACGUUGUCCGGAAUUACUGGGCGUAAAGGGCGCGUAGGCGGCCUCCGCAAGUCAGUUGUGAAAUCUCCGAGCUUAACUCGGAAAGGUCAACUGAUACUGCGGGGCUAGAGUGCGGAAGGGGCAACUGGAAUUCUUGGUGUAGCGGUGAAAUGCGUAGAUAUCAAGAGGAACACCUGCGGCGAAGGCGGGUUGCUGGGCCGACACUGACGCUGAGGCGCGAAAGCUAGGGGAGCGAACGGG